RNAcentral lists this ribosomal RNA (852 nucleotides) under Triticum aestivum (bread wheat). RNAcentral describes it as "partial small subunit ribosomal RNA". The record is from RNAcentral. Lineage: Eukaryota; Viridiplantae; Streptophyta; Magnoliopsida; Poales; Poaceae.
AUGGGAGCGGCAUCACUGCUGUCAUUUGCCAAUACCGCCCCCUUUAUAUUCAAUCCCCCAACUUCUCCCACCUCCCCCAUCCCACCUCUUCUCUUCUCCCAAGUCCCAACUCAAAGGCAAGCGCAGACCCAGCUCAGCUCAGGCAACAACAAUCAGAUCACACACAGGCUGCCUAAUCCUGCUCUUCGUUGGCGGUUUCUGUGCAGCCCGCCGAGCUCUUGCGAGAAUAUUGCAAUGGCGUCCACGUCGAGCUCGACGGCGGUGGACGAGAGGGAGCGGAAGCGGAAGAGGGCAGCCGGGGGUGAUUCCACAGCGUCCGCCGGCCCGGGGACGGAGGCGCAGCCUUCCAAGUGGCGGACGCAGCGCGAGCACGAGAUCUACUCGUCCAAGCUCUUCGAGGCGCUCCGCCUUGUCCGAGGCGGGUCAUCGUCCGCGUCGACGGCGCCGGCGCGUGGCCGGGCCGUGCGGGAGGCCGCCGACCGCGCGCUCGCGGUGGCGGCCCGCGGGCGCUCGCGCUGGAGCCGCGCCAUACUCGCCUCCCGCCGCCGCCGCCUGCAGGCAGCCCACCGCGCGCGCCUCCGCGCCCCAGCCACACCACCCGCGCGCCACCCCUCCGUCGCUGCCGCCGCGCAGCCGCAGCCGGGGAAGGCACCGGCGCUGGCGAAGAAGGCGAAGGUGCUCGGGCGGCUGGUUCCCGGUUGCCACAAGCUGCCGUUCCCGGCGCUCCUGAGCGAGGCCUCCGACUACAUCAAGGCGCUGGAGAUGCAGGUGCGCGCCAUGACCGCUCUAGCCGAGGUCCUGGCGAGCGUCUCCUCGUCGUCAGCCUCCGGCAGCUCCUCCUCGCCGGCAUGA